Molecule: long non-coding RNA, 2945 nt
Filed under: Citrus x clementina
Lineage: Eukaryota; Viridiplantae; Streptophyta; Magnoliopsida; Sapindales; Rutaceae
Description: Citrus clementina (C. clementina) long non-coding RNA (CCLE_LNC004797)
Source: RNAcentral
AAGUCUGGGGCCAUUCCGAGUCCGGCGGACGAACUUCGCCCACGCCCCCCACCAAGGCUAUAGCCCACCCGUUUUUUGGCCAUUUUUCCGCUGGGGGGUUUUGGCACCACGACCUUCGCGCGCUUAUUUCUGGGCGCGGCUUUGCCCGCGGCUUAUUUUUGGCACCCCGAGGCCCCUCGCAAAGUCUCGCCCCAUUCCGAGUCCGGCGGACGAACUUCGCCCGCGCCCCCCACCAAGGCUAUAGCCCACCCGUUUUUUGGCCAUUUUUCCGCUGGGGGGUUUUGGCACCACGACCUUCGCGCGCUUAUUUCUGGGCGCGGCUUUGCCCGCGGCUUAUUUUUGGCACCCCGAGGCCCCUCGCAAAGUCUCGCCGCAUUCCGAGUCCGGCGGACGAACGUCGCCCGCGCCCCCCACCAAGUCUAUAGCCCACCCGUUUUUUGGCCAUUUUUCCGCUCGGGGGUUUUGGCACCACGACCUUCGGGCGCUUAUUUUUGGGCGCGGCUUUGCCCGCGGCUUAUUUUUGGCACCCCGAGGCCCCUCGCAAAGUCUCGCCCCAUUCCGAGUCCGGCGGACGAACUUCGCCCGCGCCCCCCACCAAGGCUAUAGCCCACCCGUUUUUUGGCCAUUUUUCCGCUGGGGGGUCUUGGCGCCCCGACCUUCGGGGGCUGAUUUUUGGGCGCGGGUGUGCCCGUGGCCUAUUUUUGGCACACGGAGGCCGCCCGCAAAGUCUGGGGCCAUUCCGAGUCCGGCGGACGAACUUCGCCCACGCCCCCCACCAAGGCUAUAGCCCACCCGUUUUUUGGCCAUUUUUCCGCUGGGGGGUCUUGGCGCCCCGACCUUCGGGGGCUGAAUUUUGGGCGCGGGUGUGCCCGUGGCCUAUUUUUGGCACACGGAGGCCGCCCGCAAAGUCUGGGGCCAUUCCGAGUCCGGCGGACGAACUUCGCCCACGCCCCCCACCAAGGCUAUAGCCCACCCGUUUUUUGGCCAUUUUUCCGCUGGGGGGUCUUGGCGCCCCGACCUUCGGGGGCUGAAUUUUGGGCGCGGGUGUGCCCGUGGCCUAUUUUUGGCACACGGAGGCCGCCCGCAAAGUCUGGGGCCAUUCCGAGUCCGGCGGACGAACUUCGCCCACGCCCCCCACCAAGGCUAUAGCCCACCCGUUUUUUGGCCAUUUUUCCGCUGGGGGGUCUUGGCGCCCCGACCUUCGGGGGCUGAAUUUUGGGCGCGGGUGUGCCCGUGGCCUAUUUUUGGCACACGGAGGCCGCCCGCAAAGUCUGGGGCCAUUCCGAGUCCGGCGGACGAACUUCGCCCACGCCCCCCACCAAGGCUAUAGCCCACCCGUUUUUUGGCCAUUUUUCCGCUGGGGGGUCUUGGCGCCCCGACCUUCGGGGGCUGAUUUUUGGGCGCGGGUGUGCCCGUGGCCUAUUUUUGGCACACGGAGGCCGCCCGCAAAGUCUGGGGCCAUUCCGAGUCCGGCGGACGAACUUCGCCCACGCCCCCCACCAAGGCUAUAGCCCACCCGUUUUUUGGCCAUUUUUCCGCUGGGGGGUCUUGGCGCCCCGACCUUCGGGGACUGAUUUUUGGGCGCGGCUGUGCCCGUGGCCUAUUUUUGGCACACGGAGGCCGCCCGCAAAGUCUGGGGCCAUUCCGAGUCCGGCGGACGAACUUCGCCCACGCCCCCCACCAAGGCUAUAGCCCACCCGUUUUUUGGCCAUUUUUCCGCUGGGGGGUCUUGGCGCCCCGACCUUCGGGGGCUGAAUUUUGGGCGCGGGUGUGCCCGUGGCCUAUUUUUGGCACACGGAGGCCGCCCGCAAAGUCUGGGGCCAUUCCGAGUCCGGCGGACGAACUUCGCCCACGCCCCCCACCAAGGCUAUAGCCCACCCGUUUUUUGGCCAUUUUUCCGCUGGGGGGUCUUGGCGCCCCGACCUUCGGGGGCUGAAUUUUGGGCGCGGGUGUGCCCGUGGCCUAUUUUUGGCACACGGAGGCCGCCCGCAAAGUCUGGGGCCAUUCCGAGUCCGGCGGACGAACUUCGCCCACGCCCCCCACCAAGGCUAUAGCCCACCCGUUUUUUGGCCAUUUUUCCGCUGGGGGGUCUUGGCGCCCCGACCUUCGGGGGCUGAUUUUUGGGCGCGGGUGUGCCCGUGGCCUAUUUUUGGCACACGGAGGCCGCCCGCAAAGUCUGGGGCCAUUGCGAGUCCGGCGGACGAACUUCGCCCACCACCCCCACCAAGGCUAUAGCCCACCCGUUUUUUGGCCAUUUUUCCGCUGGGGGGUCUUGGCGCCCCGACCUUCGGGGGCUGAAUUUUGGGCGCGGGUGUGCCCGUGGCCUAUUUUUGGCACACGGAGGCCGCCCGCAAAGUCUGGGGCCAUUCCGAGUCCGGCGGACGAACUUCGCCCACGCCCCCCACCAAGGCUAUAGCCCACCCGUUUUUUGGCCAUUUUUCCGCUGGGGGGUCUUGGCGCCACGACCUUCGGGGGCUUAAUUUUGGGCGCGGGUGUUCCCGUGGCCUAUUUUUGGCACACGGAGGCCGCCCGCAAAGUCUGGGCCAUUCCGAGUCCGGCGGACGAACUUCGCCCACGCCCCCCACCAAGGCUAUAGCCGACCCGUUUUUUGGCCAUUUUUCCGCUGGGGGGUCUUGGCGCCCCGACCUUCGGGGGCUGAAUUUUGGGCGCGGGUGUGCCCGUGGCCUAUUUUUGGCACACGGAGGCCGCCCGCAAAGUCUGGGGCCAUUCCGAGUCCGGCGGACGAACUUCACCCACGCCCCCCACCAAGGCUAUAGGCCACCCGUUUUUUGGACAUUUUUCCGCUGGGGGGUCUUGGCGCCCCGACCUUCGGGGGCUGAAUUUGGGGCGCGGGUGUGCCCGUGGCCUAUUUUUGGCACACGGAGGCCGCCCGCAAAGUCUGGGGCCAUUCCGAGUCCGGCGGACGAACUUCGCCCACGCCCCCC